ACUACACCCCUAACUUCUAUAACCCCCACCCCACGGGACCCUGUAUAGUUGGUUUUAGGUUGGGGCAACCACGGAGCACAACANAGCCUCCACAAUGAAUGGGACCACCCCCCUUAUCUANGAGCCACACCCCUAGGAAUUAAAACAUUAAUAUAAAAUGAUCCAUUAUUUGAUCAAUGAACCAAGUUACCCUGGGGAUAACAGCGCAAUCCAUUUCAAGAGCCCCUAUCGACAAAUGGGUUUACGACCUCGAUGUUGGAUCAGGGUGUCCUGGUGGUGCAGCAGCUACUAAUGGUUCGUUUGUUCAACGAUUAAAACCCU
Molecule: ribosomal RNA, 321 nt
Filed under: Mantidactylus paidroa
Lineage: Eukaryota; Metazoa; Chordata; Amphibia; Anura; Mantellidae
Description: partial 16S ribosomal RNA
Rfam family: Bacterial large subunit ribosomal RNA
Source: RNAcentral